This 253-nucleotide ribosomal RNA is filed under the name uncultured bacterium. Its description in RNAcentral is "partial 16S ribosomal RNA". It matches the Rfam family "Bacterial small subunit ribosomal RNA", at positions 524 to 776 of the family's 1533-position model. The record is from RNAcentral.
GACAGAGGUGCCAAGCGUUAGGCGGAAUCACUGGGCUUAAAGCGUGUGUAGGCGGGCGGGCAAGUACCUUGUGAAAUCCCACGGCUCAACCGUGGAACGGCUGGGUAUACUGCCUGUCUUGAGCCAGCUAGGGGCGACCGGAACAGACGGUGGAGCGGUGAAAUGCGUAGAUAUCGGAAGGAACGCCGGUGGCGAAAGCGGUCUGCUGGACUUCUUCUGACGCUGAGGCGCGAAAGCCAGGGGAGCGAACGGG